This 582-nucleotide ribosomal RNA is filed under the name uncultured bacterium. RNAcentral describes it as "bacterial SSU rRNA". It matches the Rfam family "Bacterial small subunit ribosomal RNA", at positions 338 to 917 of the family's 1533-position model. The record is from RNAcentral.
CCUACGGGAGGCAGCAGUGGGGAAUAUUGGACAAUGGGCGAAAGCCUGAUCCAGCAAUUCCGCGUGUGUGAAGAAGGCCUUCGGGUUGUAAAGCACUUUAGUGGGGGAAGAAACAGCUUGGCCACACCAAGCCUUGACGGUACCCCAAGAAUAAGCACCGGCUAACUCUGUGCCAGCAGCCGCGGUAAUACAGAGGGUGCAAGCGUUAAUCGGAUUUACUGGGCGUAAAGGGUGCGUAGGUGGCUAUUUAAGUCGGAUGUGAAAGCCCGGGGCUCAACCUCGGAAUUGCAUUCGAUACUGAGUGGCUAGAGUUCGGUAGAGGGCGGCGGAAUUUCCGGUGUAGCGGUGAAAUGCGUAGAUAUCGGAAGGAACAUCAAUGGCGAAGGCAGCCGCCUGGGCCUGGACUGACACUGGGGCACGAAAGCGUGGGUAGCAAACAGGAUUAGAUACCCUGGUAGUCCACGCCGUAAACGAUGAGAACUUGACGUUGGUUCGUUUUACGAAUCGGUGUCGCAGCUAACGCGAUAAGUUCCCCGCCUGGGGAGUACGGCCGCAAGGUUGAAACUUAAAGGAAUUGAACGG